UAAAAAUACUGCACAAGCACUUGUUUUAUUGUAGUAACGUAUGUAGAAAACACCCUCGUGUGUAGGUUUUCUCAUCAUGGACGUAUUCACAGAUGGAUCCAAAGCAGAUAAUCGAGUUCAGGCAGCGGCGGCAAGAAUUAUAGAAUUAUAGUCUCGGUGUGCUAAUCUCGGGACAGAAUUCGAUCCUCUCGGCUGAAGCUCGCACUCCACUGACGGAAAAUGGACACAAAUAAAAUCCUUUCAUUUCCACUGACUCAAAAUCCUGCCUUCAAACGCUUGAAAAUGUAAAGACCGACCAUCCCGUAAUUAUAAAGGUUUUAGCCAAAGCAGGCUGUUUACGGAAGAGAAACUUCAGUAUUUUCUUCUGCUGGGCUCCAGGCCACAUGGGUUUUUUUUCUGGUAACAAGAAAGCGGAUAUCACUGCUGAAGAAGCACUCAACCGGAAUAUUUCAGAGUGUCAAAUGAAUGUCAGACUGUCAGCCCUGUGAUAAACUAUAUGUUAUCUUCUGCUAAUAUAUUAUAUUAUGAAAUAAAUCCCAGUGUAAGAAAAACCGAGUUUUUACAAGGUCUUUUAGGUCAUAAAAGACAUGCCUAUGUAUAUUUAUUAAAAACUGAAAAACCGCCAUCAUGAUUACCUGCCAAACAAAAAAGACUAUGAAGCAUAUUUUAUUAGAUUUUAUUGUUUUUAAUGUAACUAGACAACGGUUUUAUUCAGAUGUGUGUUUAACUGAUUCCUUUAAAAACCGCAUCACCUUAAUGUAUAUUAGAAUUAUUUUGUCUAGAGAGGAUUUGAAAUAAACUAUACCUUGUGUUAUUUAUUCUGAGUACCCCAUUAAAAUAGCCUUGUUAAAAAGAGCGAAUUAAUUUAUUACAGCUCUCAAACAAUGGAAGUCAAACGAAUAAAUGUAAUUUAAUUAAUGACUAAAAGUGUAUUAUUUUAGUAUCUGUAUUAUUGAGGAGAGCAAAAUAUAUUAAAUUGGAAAGGUUUAACCAAAUAUAAGAAUGUAAUUAGUCGUGUGUAAUGUCGUAUUAAGCAUAUAUCCACAAGAUGACGCUGGCGCUCCAAGAUAAAACAUCUCUGUACAACAGCCGUAGUGCUGAUGAAUAUUCAACAAUAUAAAACCCUAAAGGUUCAAAUCAAACUACACAGCUGCUGUUUCUCCGUGGGACUUUAACACGCUUGCCACAAUAAAUGAACUGGCUGGACGUCUCCCGACGGCGCGCAGACAUUUCGCAUUUAAGGCAUAAAUGCGAACCCAGCAAUUAACUUUCUAGCUGCUUUGCCCCAAACCAAAGGCUCAAAAACAAGUAGGUGAGUGUGACACAUCCAUAAACGCAUGUGCUACCUAGAAUGCCAUUUUGGGGAGGGCCUGCGCGAGGACUGCGCGAGAGCUCCGCGCGCCGCUGCCGCCGCUGCCUUUCUCGUGGCACGCGACUGCGAGCAGAAUCCAGGUAAAUCCUUUAAGACGGCGACGGUGACAGUCAUGACUACGCUCCCGACGACUCAACUUCAAUACAUUUUGACGCAUCCGAGAGAAGAAUAAACUCGCACAUUUCCUCAGAAGAAACUUAUUCGCGGGCUUCGGCGAAGACUGCAUCUUUAUUCCAGUCCAGUGACAACAGUCGGAACCAGAAUUGGACCGUAAGAUCGACAAACUUUUCGACAGUCAAAACAGUGGACGUAAAUCAAAUAAGCUACAACUGGGUUGAUACGGCUCUCGAACAAUGGAAGUCGAGCAGAGGGUCAUUGCUGAUUUAUGUUAUUCGGCUCGAUGUUGAUGUGAUUUAUACCGAUAUGGAGAAAUGAAACAGGCCAAACUCCUUUCAAAGACGUGACUUCAUUCUGCUCCGAAUCCGACUGCUUUUUGUCAAGUCCGCCUAGUCAGCCUUGUGAACACUGAAUGAAGUUUUCUCAGAGUUUGUCAGGAGACCUCGGAGACAAAGAUGUGUUGUCAAAUAUCAGUUCGGGCUCGUUCAUUCUCCCAAAACUUUCUAGCAAGUCGUCCAGUUCUUCUGGACAUGGUUGUAUUACCCUGCGGGGCGUUCGUAGCUUAAGCUUGGCUUCGUGAUCACAGCAGAUUCUCUCCCUUGUUAUAAUGUCACAUGGAAAUCACACUGAGAAACUCAAUAAACGCUCUGUAUCGUCCUGCGUUGUGGCGAGGGGAAGGUAAUAGCCUGCCACAGAGGCUGCGAGAAAAAGUGACUCAGCUUGGAGAGGAUGCAUGAGGCUGUAAGCCUGUGGAAUCUCGAGCUGCUCUUUGAGAUCGCCUGCAGUCUCACACGUCUCAUUUGCACUUCUCUAUUAUCACAGCACGCUGGAAAUGGUGAGUUUCCCUCCGGCCAGGACGUCCCUGUGUGCAAAAAUAAGCCAGAGAGAAGAGGCAUGGCUAUUAAAUGCUAUGAAAGAUAUUAAAGCAGUAUUUCGGACACUUUACAUAUUGAAAUAUAUAUUAUAUGCUGUUUACAGUAUAAAUGAUCUUCUCUACUCUUCAAGGGUUUGGGCUCAAUACUUUUUAAAAAUGAACAAUAGGAAAACAAGGAAACAAUAGCUUGAUCAAAAGUGAUGAAGGCAUUUAUAAUUUUACAGAAGAUUUCCAUUUAAAAAUGUUGUUCUUUUCAACAUUCUAUUCAUCAAAGAAUCUUUGCACAAAAAUAUUAAGCAGAACAACUGUUUUAUCAUUGAUAAAUUAUAAACAGGUUCAACAUUUCUUGAGCUGCACAUGAGUAUAUUGAAAUUAUUUCAUCGUGUGACUCUAAAGACUGAAGGCUCCCCAAAAUUCAGCUUUGCAAUAACAGAAAUACAUUUUUAAAUAUUUAAAUAAAAAAUGUGAUUAGAUUUAGCAAUAUUGUUGUUUUACUGUAUUUUUGAUCAAAUAAAUACACUCUUGGAAGAAACAUCUAUUGAAACAUUCUACCGACCACAAACUUUUGACUUCAUGGCUUCAGUUAAUGUAAAAUGUUAAGCAUAUGCUGAUCAAUUAAUUACCUGCUUCCAAUAUUUGAUGAGAAGGAAAAAAACUAUAGAAAAUUCGAAAAAUUUGCAUCACUGAAGAAGGCAAGUAAAGCACUAAAAAGACAUUACUAAAAGUGUCUUUAAAUCACUGCAUAGCAUAGUAUAAGUUCACAGCAACUCAUCGGUUUAAAAUGUUUGUUUAUGUAAGCUGUGUCUCACUCCAUUAGCGCUGUGAGCAAAAGAAAAAUAAACAAUACUAAAUGCUAUUUAAAAAGAAAUAGUACAACUCUGACUGCUACAAGAGCACACAUAUUGGAAUAUAAUUGAGCAAACAGAACAAAAAUUUGACAUUUUGGAGAGAUAGUGGGGAGGGUAUCCCAGAGUUUUAGGGCAGUGAUGCUUUAGUUCCUAUACUAGAGGACAAUGGAAGCAUUAUGGGCUGCAGAGCUCAGGACAAAUUAACUAUUCACACAGUUUAAUGAGUAAGAGGGAGUUACAGUAAUCUAGGUACGGGGUCAUAAAAGCAUGCCUAAAAAUUUCUUUGAAACAUAAGUGAAGGACAAAUAAAGGUUUGAUGGUGCAGAUGAGAAAACGAAGAGGUGCACAGUAUGAGCUUUAAAUUAGAAUGACAAGUCAAAAAUCACACCCGGGUAUGUGAAGUCUCCACCUGAACGUCACAAAGAUGUAGUAUUUUGUUUGUGUCAUAGAUUCAUUUUAAAGACAUGGCAGCCGUCCACACGUUUGGAAUAAAGCUGAUGUGGUAUCACACAUUACUUCUGCGACUGCAGUACGUGAUAUUGAUCAAGCUCACAAGAGUAUGUCUUCAUAGAAAGCGAGGACAUGCUUGUGGUUUUGUGAUGCACCCAAACCCAGAUUUCACACACACACACACACACAUAUAUGAAUCACACUCUCACUUUUUUUUUUACAAACAAACAUGCAUAAUGAUGACGAGUGAAAACUUGUUGAGCGAUCCCAAAUGCUCAUGAAUAGCUUGUGCGUGUGUGAUUCAGCAGCUGUGUGUUGUUGAGGAGUGAAGAGGCAGUGGUCUGUGACUGGGUGGAGAAGAGUACUAGAAGGCGGUGAGAAAUGAAAGGUGACACAGGUCUGGUGACUCAGCACAGACACACCUCCUAAGCCACACUGACUCACAAUCACGAUCAGGAAUUUGUUUAUCUGGAAACCGUUAGAUAUUAACGCUUUGCAAUUUGUCCACGGCCAGAUUUCUUGCAUUAGUUCAGUUCUAUCAUGACAACUCAAGAUCGUAGCAUGCUGCUGAAAAUGACAAUGUUAAUGUAUUUGGUCUUGGUGGAAUAGAUCUCCUGUAGUGCUGCUUUUGCUGUUGUUGAAGGGGAUUGCUGCUGCUGCUGCUGCAAAGCAAGUACAGUAACUUGCUUUUGCCAAUACAUAUGUCGAUGGGAUGCUGUGAGUAUAUAAGACAUACUGCUUCUGCACAAGUAGCAUAUAUAACCUGUAGCAGAUCCAUAAAGGUGGAGACAAUCAGCAUGAACUUGAACCAAUCAGCUUGUGCCAACGCUGAAUAUCAUGUUUGUGUUGACAAUCCAUCAGCUUGCACCAUCUUGAGUUUCGUGACUGAACGUGGCAUUUAUUUGUUACUGCUAGUUACUGAUCAUUUUAUGUGGCGUUAUAUAGAGAGGAAGAGCCUCUCUCCAAUUCUGUUAUUAUCAUUAUUAUUAUUAUUAUGAUUAUAAUUAAAAAUAAAACCAUAAAAACAUUUUUUAUGUGCUGGACUAUAAAAUUAAAAAAAUGUGGUUAUUUUAUGUCAGCUGUAAUUGCCACAUAAAUUGUAUAAUUUUCAUUUAGCAGGAUUUUUUUUCAUUUGUAAGUAGUGUCU
Molecule: long non-coding RNA, 4808 nt
Organism: Puntigrus tetrazona (Sumatra barb)
Lineage: Eukaryota; Metazoa; Chordata; Actinopteri; Cypriniformes; Cyprinidae
Exons: 3
Source: RefSeq, a predicted model, not a curated record